AGCCUUGUGCAGGGGCAGUAUCAUAGCCAAUGGAGUUUAUCUGAGGCGUGAUUAUUGCUAAUUGAAAGUAUGCUUACUGGGCGCCUGAGUGGCUCAGUCGGUUAAAUGUCCGACUUCAGCUCAGGUCA
This 128-nucleotide small nuclear RNA is filed under the name Suricata suricatta (meerkat). RNAcentral's name for it is "U4 spliceosomal RNA (ENSSSUG00005009630.1)". The stretch from base 1 to 71 matches the Rfam family "U4 spliceosomal RNA". From Rfam's summary of the family: U4 small nuclear RNA (U4 snRNA) is a component of the major U2-dependent spliceosome. The structure of U4 snRNA from yeast and human has been reported. U4 snRNA presents a k-turn RNA motif in the 5p-SL related to recognition of Snu13 protein. Lineage: Eukaryota; Metazoa; Chordata; Mammalia; Carnivora; Herpestidae. The record is from RNAcentral.